GACAACCAGCCUUGCUCACGAAGCGUCAGCCGUAUCCUUUCUGUGUGCAGUGGGGUGUGGGUUGUGUGGAGCCGCGGUGUCUGUGGAAUUCACAGGCUGGGGCCGGAAUCCAUGGCCCCCGUCGCCGCUGCCACCCCCCAGGUGCUGGGGUGACCUGAUCCAGGGUUGGGGUCUAAGCUGCUGGGGGGUUGGAGUCUUGGGCUCUGGCCCACGUCCGCCUCUGAUUGGUUCUACCACCUGAGCCGGUCACUGACCCUCCAUGGGCCUCAGCUUACCCUAUGGUAAAGUGAGAACUAGGGGGUCAGACUCCUUGAUCACCAAGAUCUCUGACCACAGCCAAGGCUAAGGGAAGCGCAGGAAAACGUGGGGCUCGUCCAAAUUCCCAGCCUCUCUCUGCCCCCUGGUGGACGCCGGCAGCCUAGCACCCGGGGGGAGAUGACCCCGACACUGUGUGACCUCUGCCAAGGCACCCAUCCCUCUGAGCCCCAGUUCCCACCGGUUACAUAGGAAUGAUUAUAAUACCCACCUCUUUGGGCAAUUGUGAGGAGGCAAGGAGAUAAUACAUGCAAAGUGCUUGGAUGGGAUGGGUACUAGCCACUCAACAGAAGGCAGAUCCUAGAAUGGGGAUGGCAAGUCCUGUCAUCAGUGAAGAAUGUAAUGACUGCAAGCUUAGAUGACAUGUCUGUUACUGGAAACCAGAGUUGUUUACUUAAGCUGUAAAUGAACUCAUAGUCCCUGGGAUAAUUAUCUCACCUCUGGAUAAAUAAACUCAACAGCCUUAUGUAUUUUAUUAAUUUUUCUUAAAAAAAAGCUUAAAAUAUUUUUCCUUUGAUUUGUUCUCUUUCUUUGGUUUCUGACUUUAUUAUGUCCUUUCUUUCUGCUUAGGCAUUUGUUUUAUUGCUCUUUUUUCACCAACUCAAACUGAAUGGUCACCUUAACAGUUUUAUUGAGAUCCAUUAUUUAUUCUUCUCCAUCUUGUUCUGUGUUCCUGGAAGCCAACCUUUAUAAGCUGCAGGAAAUGGAUUUCCUACUCUCCACCUUCUGAUUGGGCUUGACCAACGGGGAGCACUGGCAGAAGACAAGCAUGGGAGGAAAAAGAGAUCAGGGCUGGAGUGCAGUGG
This 1121-nucleotide long non-coding RNA is filed under the name Homo sapiens (human). RNAcentral's name for it is "HSALNT0291587". The record is from RNAcentral. Lineage: Eukaryota; Metazoa; Chordata; Mammalia; Primates; Hominidae.